Molecule: long non-coding RNA, 1204 nt
Filed under: Phascolarctos cinereus (koala)
Lineage: Eukaryota; Metazoa; Chordata; Mammalia; Diprotodontia; Phascolarctidae
Description: lncRNA (ENSPCIG00000006594.2)
Source: RNAcentral
ACUUGGCUUUCUACUCAGCUGCGCCCGCACGGGGUUCAUCCCACAGGGAUCCAGAAGACUCUUCCCUUGCUUAGGAAAGUGGUGGUGCUUCCAAACACCACUAGAGGACGCCCCAGGCCUAGCCUCAGCUCAGGGUACCGCUGAUCUACUCAACUUGCUGAGGUUUCGGGACCUUAGUAUCAGAGUUCGUCCAUCCAAAUGCUUCACUUUACAGAGGAGAAAACUGACACCCGCGGAGGCGAAGGGACUUGGCCAGGGUCACACAGGGAGUAGGCGGCAGCAACAGGAUCCGAACAGAACCCUCUGACUCCAACUCCAGAGCCGCGCCUGAAAGUAUAGAUGCUCUCGUGGCAAGUGGGUUCCCCAGGGAAGGGGAGAGGAGGCUGUUUCUUCGCCAGACACAAGGCCUUACACCCCUCCCCCUCCCCUCUCCUCCCCUCCCCCAGCUCUAUUCGGGGGAGCGUCCUGGGCUUGCCCCAUCAAGGAGAGCUCCCCCAAGGUGAAGUGGCUUGCCUCGAGAGGCAGUGAGCUCUCCAUCACUGGAGAUCCUCAAGCACAGGCUGGGUAUGGUGUGAGGGACCUUCAUGUCCGCUAUGGGUUGGACUACAAGUCUCUCUUCCAAGUCAGCGGUUCUGUGAGUCAAGAAUCCUGGGUUCACGUUCAGGAAAGACUAUCCUCUACUCCCCUCCUCGUAUGUAUACUUUACACCUUUUGUAAGCCUUAGAGCGACCAGUCUGGAAGAGCGAUGAGUCUUGUCCCGUGGGAGCUGGAGCGACCAGGGGAGACUCCCACCUGCGGAGGGAGUGAGGAAUAGAGAAAGACGGGGUCUGUGAUCCCCUUGGCCGGCUCCGUCCUUCCCCCACCGCAUCACACCUGUCCGGCAAAUGCCCUCCCUUGCCCGCAGUGCACUAAGAGGCCACAGCGGGGCGCCAGAAGCCUCAGACAGAGGUCUCCUUUCCCUUUCCAGUUUCCCCGCCAGACACUACAGAGCUUGGGAGGUUACAAGGGUCUCGGGAGCUCAGACGUAUGGAAGUGAUGUUAAGGCAGGACCAGAAGCCAGGACAUCUGGGUUCUCCCCGUGACUACAGAGCAAAUCAUCAAAGCGGCAUCGGGUCUACAAGUUGAAAGGGGCCUUGGGGUUCAGCUUGCCGACUCCGAGGCUACUGUAAUCAGGGAGGUCAACAGCGCACGGCUGACAGAGCCC